RNAcentral lists this ribosomal RNA (253 nucleotides) under uncultured bacterium. Its description in RNAcentral is "partial 16S ribosomal RNA". It matches the Rfam family "Archaeal small subunit ribosomal RNA", at positions 474 to 727 of the family's 1478-position model. The record is from RNAcentral.
UACCAGCACCCCGAGUGGUCGGGGCGAUUAUUGGGCCUAAAGCAUCCGUAGCCGGUUCUACAAGUCUUCCGUUAAAUCCACCUGCUCAACAGUUGGGCUGCGGAGGAUACUAUAGAGCUAGGAGGCGGGAGAGGCAAGCGGUACUUAGUGGGUAGGGGUAAAAUCCGUUGAUCCAUUGAAGACCACCAGUGGCGAAGGCGGCUUGCCAGAACGCACUCGACGGUGAGGGAUGAAAGCUGGGGGAGCAAACCGG